This 221-nucleotide unclassified non-coding RNA is filed under the name Hevea brasiliensis (rubber tree). Lineage: Eukaryota; Viridiplantae; Streptophyta; Magnoliopsida; Malpighiales; Euphorbiaceae. The record is from RNAcentral.
AGUGUUUGUACCUUGGAAUUGAAGAUCGUAGACAAAAUGUUGGUGCAACAGUGUAGGGGCGGAUGUUGUAUUAUUCCUGGAGGAUUUGGUGAGAGAGAUGUGGAGGGUAAAAUUCUUGCUGCCAAAUAUGUCCGUGAAAACAGGAUUCCUUACUUGGGCAUAUGUCUAGGCAUGCAAAUUGCAGUUAUCGAGUAUGCUAGAUCCAUUCUUGGGUUGCAAGA